RNAcentral lists this ribosomal RNA (189 nucleotides) under uncultured bacterium. RNAcentral's name for it is "partial 16S ribosomal RNA". It matches the Rfam family "Bacterial small subunit ribosomal RNA", at positions 1314 to 1500 of the family's 1533-position model. The record is from RNAcentral.
GCCUACAUGAAGCUGGAGUUGCUAGUAAUCGCGAAUCAGCAUGUCGCGGUGAAUACGUUCCCGGGCCUUGUACACACCGCCCGUCACACCAUGAGAGUUGGCAAUACCCAACGUACGUGAUCUAACCCGCAAGGGAGGAAGCGUCCUAAGGUAGGGUCAGCGAUUGGGGUGAAGUCGUAACAAGGUAGC